CAGUCGCCACGGUAAUACGUAGGGUGCAAGCGUUAAUCGGAAUUACUGGGCGUAAAGCGUGCGCAGGCGGUUUGUUAAGACAGAUGUGAAAUCCCCGGGCUCAACCUGGGAACUGCAUUUGUGACUGGCAAGCUAGAGUGUGGCAGAGGGGGGUGGAAUUCCGCGUGUAGCAGUGAAAUGCGUAGAUAUGCGGAGGAACACCGAUGGCGAAGGCAGCCCCCUGGGCCAACACUGACGCUCAUGCACGAAAGCGUGGGGAGCAAACAGGAUUAGAUACCCCCGUAGUCCCUGUCUCUUAUAC
This 301-nucleotide ribosomal RNA is filed under the name uncultured bacterium. RNAcentral describes it as "partial 16S ribosomal RNA". It matches the Rfam family "Bacterial small subunit ribosomal RNA", at positions 509 to 807 of the family's 1533-position model. The record is from RNAcentral.